This is an RNA transcript of Zea mays, 4653 nucleotides long. RefSeq lists it as uncharacterized. The transcript is spliced from 14 exons. The record is from RefSeq and is a predicted model, not a curated record. Lineage: Eukaryota; Viridiplantae; Streptophyta; Magnoliopsida; Poales; Poaceae.
GGGCCUCGGAACGAUAUGGGCCGCAAUCAACUGAGCCGAAGCAGACUGCAGACCCCAAGGACAACGAACCCGCGAAAUUCCAUUUCCCAGUUCUCACCAUUUCACCAACCGUUCACUCCCUCGCCGGCGCACCUCGCCGGCGUCGUGUCCUGGCACACCACCACCAGUGCACGGCACUUCUAUCUUCGUCUCCUUCUGCCCUCCCAUCCUUCAUUCUGCCGCUCGGAACGUUGGAUGUGUGCUGCUCCAGAUCACGCGGGAGGGCAAUAAGCCCUAGCUCGGCCAUCCCGGGAUGGAGGCGGCCGCCUCCAGCCUCUCGACGCUGCUCUCCACCUUGCGCGUGGACGGGCCCUGGACGCCUCCGGGAACCUGGGAGUCGGCCAUCCCUGAGAGUGGCGCCGCUCGCGUUACAGACCUCGGAGGACGCCUGCAGCCGAUCUACGAGCUCGCAUCGGUUACUGAUGAUGCUUUGAUUCAUCUGGCCUUGCAUGCGCUGUAUGGUGUCAAAUCAUCGUUAGAUGAGAUUGAGGAGCUUUCAGUGCUGUUCUCCUCAAAUCCAGCUGACAGAACCUCUAACCGUGUUACAAAUGUGUGGUUACGUUCCUCGAGCACCAUAUCUGUGGGGAGUAUUCUCAAAUCUUUACGCUCUACAGGUCUUGUGGUCUUCUUCCUUUGCAAGUUUGUGCACUUUUAUCUUGUCCAAAGUCGAGAAAUGAAUUGUGCAAGUAGAGAAGUUCAUGAACAUGAACAUCCUGGUGAUAAAGACACUGAACAGCAUCGGCCUUACAGUCUAGUAAACCAAGCAUUUGCAGCUGCAGUUAGUAAGGUCCUCGAAGGCUAUUUCUGUUCCUUGAAUACUUUACCAGCAUCAAUUAGGCUUAGGCGUUCAGUUGGCCAAUCUGGUAUACCUUCCAAGACUUCAGAUGGAAUGAGUUGUAAUUCCACUGCAGAAGUCACUCUUCUGGAAGUUUAUCUACACACUGAAGAGUUAAGAAGGCAUGUUAAAUCCCUUGGAAAUAUUUGUUUCCCUAAGUUUGCAGGUGCUACAUUGUGCCAUGAUGGUUUGGAUACUGAAGCAAGUGUGGAGUUUGAGAAUUUCCCACGGGGCACUGAUUUGCUUUCGUAUUUGUAUGUCUAUAUUCGUGAUGCCGAUCCAGUUCACUAUGGUCUUCUGAAGUAUCUUUUUAUUCGUUCCUGUGAGCCAUACUUUAACUUCAUUAAGUCAUGGAUUUACCGAGCUUCUGUUGAUGACCCUUAUGAGGAAUUUCUCAUUACACAAACUGAAAAUAAGGGUGUUCAAGGAGUCUCUUCUGACAUAACAGAUGAGUUCACCCUUUUCCCGUUAAAGGGAAGAAAUCAUGUUUCUGCUCCAUGUUUUCUAAAGGAGAUAUGCCAUCCUGUUUUGCGUACUGGGCAGCAGCUUCGAGUGCUCAUGAAUCUUCUAAAGUCGUGCAAAUUGUCUGCUACUGGAGGAGAUGGUUAUCCCUCUUGUAAUAUCAUUAAUAUGGAGGGGGUUCUCCCAUGGUUUAAUACACCAAUUGAGUCUUCAAUGAAUUCAUUUACGUUCUCAAAAAGUAGCGUGGAGGCAGUAACAUGCAAAAGGGAUGCUAUGUACAAGUUGAUGAUGGAGAAACUCCAACGUUUUUUCUCUAAUGUGGAGGUGAUUCCUUUUGAUACUGCAUCAAACAUCCUACAUAAAAGGACCAAUCUUCUGGACACAUCAGUUUCAGAUGCUGAACUGUUCAAUGGGGACAGCGACGCUGCACUACCUUGCAAUAUGUCUGCAGAUGAAAAAGAUAAUGACAUCUCUUUUAGUUCCGAAGAUUCUUCAGAUAAAGAGGAUCCCUUGGAAUCUUCAGAAUGCUCUUCUUAUACCUCUAUGGAUGACACAGAAGUUAAGAGUUCUACAGCUUGUGAAAAAAUUUCCAGUUCUAUGUUCUCAUUAUACUGUACAAGCACAGGUGAAGCAAAAUGUCCCUUGGUAACCAUGAAGCUUCUUUCUUCCCAAUCCAGUUCAGUUUACCAUGGAAUAAAUUGGGCAGUCCCUAUUGAUGAGUGCGAGAAAGAUGACAGCCUAAGUUGCAAACAUGUUCCUGUGCACUCACAGAAUGCUGAACAUACUGCGGUGCUUGAUGGUUUAGAACUGGAUUAUCAGUAUAGUCAGUUUUCGCCAUUUGACAGGUUUAUGAAGAGAACCAGUUGUUCAUCUGAAGACAUGAAUUCAGUUGAGUUCUUAUAUACUGAUCAUAAAAGGUCAGUAGAGAAAGUAUCACAUGGUAAUGCAGUUAAUGCAUUACAUUCUGAAUCAGGGCCUACUAAACUAUCAAACGGCAAAAACUAUGAGAAGUUUGGUAAUAUAAAUCAGCCAUGGUAUACCAGUAUUCCUUACAAUCUCAGUCUGAACCCCAUACUGAAGAAUGCAGCUUGUUACUGCACGGAGAGUGAUGUGCAACAGAAAAGCAAGAACCAAUCACUUGCCAGCUUUGAUUUUGAGUCAGUCAUGGAUCCAUGUGAAGUAUAUUGUGCAAGGAGCACAUCCUGCCUUGUUGAGUUUGUAAAUGGAGCAACAAUUAUACAGCCCAGUACUCAUCCUUGUGAACGGCUUGAUUGUUCUCCCAAGCUUCUUCAAGCUCAGACAAGAAGUCAGGCAUCCCUUACUUCCUCAGGAGAGAUGUCAACAAGAGACAGUCUUCAGAAAAAUGUUUAUGGUGGGGCAUUCUGGGAGAGAUCGUUACUAUAUAAUGAUAAAUCAAAAGAAAAACCAGCUGUGGACUUUAGUUCACAGUUUGAUAUGCCCCUUGAUAUAGUUAUCAACAAGUGCAUCAUGGAAGAAGUUUUGCUUCAGUAUAAAUAUGUUAGCAGCUUCACAAUGAAGUUGCUUGAGGAAGGUUUUGAUCUUUGUGCACAUCUGCUAGCCCUGCGGCGGUACCAUUUCAUGGAAAUAGCUGACUGGGCAGAUUCCUUUAUUGCUCUAAUUUAUAAUAAGAAAUGGUCAUUUGUUAAAUCUGAGCAGAAAAGAUCGGAGAUUCAAGGGCUUAUGGACUUUGCUUUGCAGAGAUCUUCAUGUGAUUCUGAUCCUUAUAAGGAAAGGUUAUUUAUAUACAUCAGGGAGCCACCUGUUGAUUCUUUUGAUGCAUCUGCAUGUGAUCUUGAUUUGCUGGAUGAUAUCUUGUUGGGUUAUAAAGCUGAAUGGCCAGUGAAUAUUGUUAUUACAGAAGACACACUUAAAAUAUAUGCUGAAAUAUUCUGUUAUCUUCUUCAAGUCAGGUUUGCAGUGUUUUCACUGACUGAAGUAUGGAGAUUUCUAAAGGUAUCUUUUCUCCAUUGAUGUUGCAGCCACAACAUUUCGUUCAUUUAGAGGAGUUGACACAGUUCAUCAGUCGCUCCAGCCAUAGAGGAUCUGACGUGUUGAAGAAAUUGAAUGUUGUAAUGAAAGUGAGGCAUAAACUUCAUCACUUUCUAUCAACACUACAGCAGUAUCUCCACUGCCAUUUAUCUGAUAUUUCGUGGCGCCGUUUUCAACAUUCCCUUAAAAAUCAGGUCAGGGAUAUACUGGAUUUGGAGUAUGUGCAUAUGUGUUAUAUUACUGAUGCACUUGACAUAUGUUUCUUAUCUGAUGAGUCAAAACAAGUUGCCACGAUAAUCAAAAGCAUGCUGCAACUGGCUUUGGAGUUACGAUCAUGCUUUCAAAGUAUUGGUGACACUUGUGAUUUACCAGUAAAUCAACUCAGUAAUCUGCAAUACCUUAUAAACUUCUCUCAGGUGGACGUAAUUAGAACAAAGUUCGAGGGUAACAUCAAAGAUUUGUAUGUUUUGCAUUCGAAAUCUUCAAAAUAUGGGGAGCUCGGUCUUUCCCGUUUCUGGGGGUAUCAGAACUACAAUGAGUACCAUUCUAUGAAAGUUAGCAAAGAUAUGGGCAGCUUCUGUUUUUGAUACGACAUCUUAAGACCGAAGGUUUGCCUUUAUCUGGUGGGGAAUAGCUCACCUUUUAAACCAUUGGUGGGAUCAUUGUGUGCAUUUGUUUGUUUCAUGGUAGUGCAGAGAGGUGCAUCAUCUAGUUCCGGGUCUUCUGGAAUCACUACAGCUUUUUGAGCCACCCAUGAGUCAUGACAGAAAUUAUUGCUUGUUUGUGCUGGUUGUAGUGCCACUUGCGGCGCAUGUGCAAGUCAUGAGGCAUACACGCUGAUUUGAUGAAAUUGCCCCUUGUAUUGGUUUUGGCGAACUAAAGAGAACUGCGGUUCAGACAUGCCAUAUACUUGGAGAUGCAUUGGUGGUUGAUUGUAAGGUUGCAAGUGCAUCUCAAAUUUACAACAAAAAUGGGAAAUCACGUGACUUGAUUAUCCUCCAUUCAGCCCUAUACAUACGCUAUAUAAUGUAUAUGCCAUUGUACAACACGGGCUUUGACAGACACCAGCUAGGCUCCAAAAGGGCAUCCCAUGUAGUAGCUUCACAGUGUGUUGCUGGAUCACAAGGAAGUUUAGUUAUGUUUCCCAAGCACAGCUGGAGAAAGUUAGUUUGGCGUCAGAUGUAUUAUGUAUAUUUAGUUCUGACUAAGCUGUACAAAGCUAGCAGAAGUGCGCAAAUGUCCUUUCUGGAUCGAUCUGCCUGUAAUUUUGAAUCUGCACAUCGAAGUAAGCAGGAAUGUUUCGUAUA